ACGGCUCAGUAACACGUGGAUAACCUGCCCUUGGGUCCGGCAUAACUCCGGGAAACUGGAGAUAAUUCCGGAUAACGCAUAUAUGCUGGAAUGCUUUAUACGUAAAAUGGAUUCGUCUGCCCAAGGAUGGGUCUGCGGCCUAUCAGGUAGUAGUGGGUGUAAUGUACCUACUAGCCUACGACGGGUACGGGUUGUGAGAGCAAGAGCCCGGAGAUGGAUUCUGAGACAUGAAUCCAGGCCCUACGGGGCGCAGCAGGCGCGAAAACUUUACAAUGCGGGAAACCGUGAUAAGGGGACACCGAGUGCCAGCAUCAUAUGCUGGCUGUCCAGGUGUGUAAAAUACACCUGUUAGCAAGGGCCGGGCAAGACCGGUGCCAGCCGCCGCGGUAACACCGGCGGCCCGAGUGGUGAUCGUGAUUAUUGGGUCUAAAGGGUCCGUAGCCGGUUUGGUCAGUCCUCCGGGAAAUCUGAUAGCUCAACUAUUAGGCUUUCGGAGGAUACUGCCAGACUUGGAACCGGGAGAGGUAAGAGGUACUACAGGGGUAGGAGUGAAAUCUUGUAAUCCCUGUGGGACCACCUGUGGCGAAGGCGUCUUACCAGAACGGGUUCGACGGUGAGGGACGAAAGCUGGGGGCACGAACCGGAUUAGAUACCCGGGUAGUCCCAGCCGUAAACGAUGCUCGCUAGGUGUCAGGCAUGGCGCGACCGUGUCUGGUGCCGCAGGGAAGCCGUGAAGCGAGCCACCUGGGAAGUACGGCCGCAAGGCUGAAACUUAAAGGAAUUGGCGGGGGAGCAC
RNAcentral lists this ribosomal RNA (796 nucleotides) under uncultured archaeon. Its description in RNAcentral is "bacterial SSU rRNA". It matches the Rfam family "Archaeal small subunit ribosomal RNA", at positions 85 to 879 of the family's 1478-position model. The record is from RNAcentral.